ACAGUUGGUAGAACUUGUUCGGAAUGGCGACUUGACUUCAAGUUUGUUAGAGUAACAGUUGUAAUUUUUUAAAUAUUACAAUUUAUUCAAUCAUUCCAUCUCAGUGAAGAAUCAAAAAGGAGUAGAAAGCAUAGCGAAAAGUUAGCUGGUAACGAAAGGUUAUGUUUUGAGAUUUCUUCAAGUUAUAAUUCCCUCACAGUCAUUUCCUCAUUGGGAAUAAAAGUGAGUGGAUCAAGAGUUAUGAGGUUAUAUUACUUUACCUGUCUAUUUUUAACCAAUUCCCCAGGAGCGACAAUUCCAUCAUUAUCCAAAGCAGUGUGUUUCCACAUGGGCUGUCCGGUCACAGAAUCCAACAUGGGUCCUUGAAUCCUAUCGAAAGUUU
Molecule: long non-coding RNA, 382 nt
Organism: Diorhabda sublineata
Lineage: Eukaryota; Metazoa; Arthropoda; Insecta; Coleoptera; Chrysomelidae
Exons: 3
Source: RefSeq, a predicted model, not a curated record